This 250-nucleotide ribosomal RNA is filed under the name uncultured bacterium. Its description in RNAcentral is "partial 16S ribosomal RNA". It matches the Rfam family "Bacterial small subunit ribosomal RNA", at positions 524 to 773 of the family's 1533-position model. The record is from RNAcentral.
UACGUAGGGCGCAAGCGUUGUCCGGAUUUAUUGGGCGUAAAGAGCUCGUAGGCGGCCUGUCGCGUCUGCUGUGAAAUCCCGGGGCUUAACCCCGGGCGUGCAGUGGAUACGGGCUGGCUGGAGGCAGGCAGGGGAGAAUGGAAUUCCCGGUGUAGCGGUGAAAUGCGCAGAUAUCGGGAGGAACACCGGUGGCGAAGGCGGUUCUCUGGGCCUGUUCUGACGCUGAGGAGCGAAAGCGUGGGGAGCGAAC